Molecule: non-coding RNA, 14218 nt
Organism: Macaca mulatta (Rhesus monkey)
Lineage: Eukaryota; Metazoa; Chordata; Mammalia; Primates; Cercopithecidae
Source: RefSeq, a predicted model, not a curated record
GUGGACCACAGCUCGAGAGAGCUGCCAGUGUUCAGGAUGCCUACUAAUCACAUUAGUUAUAUUCAGUCUCCCACUGAUCCUAUUAGUGAUAACAGGCUGUGGAUCUUCAAGGAAGUAACACUAAUAGCAGCAGGAGUGAAUGUAGUGUAGGUGCGGUGCCAGGUGCAUUUCAUACAUUAUCUCACAGCAACUGUUGAGGUAGGUUUUGUUUUAUCCCCACUUUCAGAUGAGAAAACUGAAGAUCAGAGAGCUGAGUUAACAUGCCUACUGUCACACAGCUGGUAAGAUUAGAGCCAGUGGGAAACACUCAGCAGUCUGAGUCCAGAGCCCAUGCUGUGAGCUGCUCUGUUAUUGCUGGAGAGGCUACCAGGGUGGGUGAAGUGAAGAGAUAGCAUGCCAGAGAGGUAGGAGGUCAAAGCAGUGGCUGAGAGUCUUGGACUCAAGGAUCUAAAUAGCAAAUCAAAGUUUUCCCCAGAACCUCUUUUCUCAUCUGAUUCCCAUAAAGUCCUCUGAGAUGGACAGGGUUCUUCCUAUUUCCAUUUUCUAGGCAAAGAAACUGACAGUGCUCAGCAGGCAAGCAUUGCCUUGUAGCCCGAGUCGUAUGCUAGGAGAGUGCCGCCUUCUCGCCCAAUGCCAAAGACUCAGGGCCCUUCUUGGCAGCUUUUCUCCCUUGGGGCAUCAUGCUGUCACAUGCCAUAGAGGGGAACUUGGCAAAACAGGCAGUGGUGUCAAAAGAGAGAGGGAUGGCAACCCAAAGUCCAGGCACUUGUCUGACCAGCAGUGAGAGUCCUCCUGGGUGUCUGUGACUGAGACUCAGAGCUGUUCUGCAUUCUAGGGUUCAAUUCCAUGUUAAGCCAGGAACAGUUCCUCUGCAAACAGAAAAGGAAGUGUAGAGGAUGAAAAGGACAGGUCAGGAAAAUACACUGAAGCCUUGGAGGCCGUGGACAAUGAGGUUUGAAGGAACAGAGAAAAAGGAGCUCAAAUGCUGCCUGGAUUUCUUUCUCAAUGGAGGGAGAAAUUGAGGCCUGCAGAGGGGAAGGAACAUGCCAAAAGUCAUGCAGCCCGUAAAGUAAAAAUGCCAAGCACCAUGCUGGCCCCAGGACCCCUUGCUUGAUUCACUGUACUCUCAGAAAAGAGACUAUAUUUAGAUAAAUGAAAGCCAGCUUGCCUGGAGUCUCCCUUCUGAUAUCUCAAAGCAAACAGAGGCAACUGGCAGCAGGGUUGCUAUGCCAGAAGCUCAAGCUCUGGAGACGUGUUCCCCUUCUAUGAAAUUUUUAUGAACAGGGACUGAGAACCAGGAUAGAAUUGCUUUGGUUUAUCGGGACCUCUCCCCAGAGUUUGUAAUCAUGUUCCUCCUACAUGCCACUCUGGUGUUUAAAUUCUAAGUGGGUUUUAUAUUCAGUUCGAUAUGAGAUUUCUUCCCUUCUAAUGAGCCAACUUUGCCUUUGUUCUUUUGUUUAUAUUCCCUAGACAAUCGACAGUUCCUGAAAGUUGCAGUCCUGCUGGAUGCGGAAGAGGGGAAAUUUCAGGACAGUUCCUGAAUAUUCAGGCCUUCAAAGCCCCAUUCAAGGCCAGUACAGGGCCUCCAGAAUAAAGGGGGAGAUCUUUCACAUGUUAUAAUCUGCUGCAGAUGAGAACACCCAUUCUCAACUCAGAUCCUCACAUGGUCUCCCCUGCCCAGGGCAGUUCCCCUGCUGGUCAUCCGCAUGGGGAAGUGUAGAGGGGAAAUUUUUCCGUAAUAAGGGGACGAUCGUCUGCUCCUCCAGUUUCUUUCCUCAUCAACAGGUUGAGUUCUGAAGUUUUACAAUUAGAAAUGAAGUCUUUAAUUUCAGGUUCUGUUCACCAGGACAAAGGAGAAUAUUAUACUGACUGUAGGACUUGUCCUUAUUUUUGUGGGGAGAGGUCCACAAAUAUUUAUGGAGAAUCUGCUAUGUCCAAAGCCCUUUUUAAGAACUGAAGAUUCAGCAGUUGAAGCAAACAAAUGUUCUGCUGUGGUGGAGCUGACAUUCCCUGGAGCGAGUCAGACAUCAUAUGAUGGUCUGUAGGGCAGUGUGAAAGGCAAACGCAGGUAAAGGCCUAGAGAGUGACAGAGGUGGCAUUUUAGACUGGAUAGACAGACAUUGAGUUAGGGCGAGGGUUAGGAGUAGAGACCUGAGGAGCUGAUGUUUGAAUAGAGACCUGAAUGAAGCUAGAGAAUGUAUUCUGAAGCAUGGGGGGAAGACACCUCCACUUGUUAGAUUGGUCUCCUCUGAAAUGGGGUGGAGUCUGCCUUCCAACCUCAGAUCACACAGAACCAGCUUAACCCUGCUUCCAGAUACACAUCCCCUCCAUGUUCUUGAAGACCAUCCUUGGGUCCCACCUGAACCUUCUCAUCCCAGCAAAUCUGACUGAUUUUCCAGCCUAAAGUUACCUUUCAGAGUGCAUUUACCCCAAACAAAACAAAGCAAAACAACCCAGCCCUUCUAGAAUCUGGAGUCAGUUACUAGAUCUUUGAUUCUUCUUCUUCUGCUGUUCUUGGUCCUUAUGAGAUUCUGGAGCUUCAGAGAUAGGCAUACCCUCUGAGGUCAGAUGACCCAACGCCCUCAUUUUACAAAUGGAGAAAGUGAAGCCCAGGCAUAGGAAGGACGUUUUUGGCUGCUUACAGUGCUAGUUACAAAAAUGACAGAGUGGGAACACAUGUCCAGGUUUCCUACUGAUCUCGUGCUCUUUUUCCUUCCAGCCUCCAGCACCCCAAAUGCCACCUUUAAUCCACAUCUACUUUACGUACUUGGAGAAUAACAACAAUAGCUCAUGUUUCCAAAGAACUUGGGUUUCCUCUUGCAAUGUUGUUCUGUUCUUCUCUGAGGAUGUAUUCUGAGAAGAGAAACUCUCUGUAGGUUUCUUUUUUUCACUUUUAAACUAAAUAUUGUCUUUUGUUUUACUCCAGGCUCUGUGCUAAAGGCUUUAUACUCAGUAUUUCAUUUAACUCUCAAAACCCCUUUGUGAGACAUUAUAAUCAUUUUUAUUGAAAGACUAGGAAGCUCAAGUUCAGAGAGGCUGAGUAAUUUACCCAAGGUCACACAACCAGAGAAUGGUGGAGCUGGGAUGAGAACUCAGGACCUGCAGACUCACCCACUAGGCUGGUUUGUUCUCUAUGACUAGCAUCUGUCACCAGCCAAAGUAUCAUGCUCCUAUUGGGACAUUUGUCUUUUCAUAUUCAUGGGGCUUCUUUCUCUUUGGCUAAUUGGUUACUGUUCUUCACCCCAAUAUCAUAGCAGUUGGCCAUGCCAGGAGCCUACCAUCCUCUAGCCUUUCUCUGCGAGGUUCCUGACCCACAGCUUGGGAUGUUUAGCAUCACCUGACCUUGGAAUCCUGGCCACAGCUGAUGCAAUACAGAAUAACUUGACCCAAAGCCUACUAGCUAUGGGCUGGUCAGCAGCCUCUGAGGUGUUGAUGCUCUGUCCAUAGGAACACUGCGCUCUGGCAGGUGAUUGGCUGAAUCGAUCAGACCUUUUCUCUUGGAGAGCAGUAAGAUAGGGUAAGGCAUAAGACUAGUGCUCAUAAUCAGAAGAGGCAGAGACACAGAAGUCCAAGGCUUAUGGACAGAUUAGACAAGAGUGAAAAACAUUCCAGUGGUGGAACGAUAUCAUGGACUCCAUGGGGUUUGACUCUGCAGCUCAGAUGGUUUCCUUACUUCUCUGUGAAUUUUUAAAAUAAACUUCUGGUAAGUGAGUAACAUGAAUGUGUCUCUGUCCAUGCUCCCCAGAAGAGGCAAAUCAGCACUCUUCAGUCUGUUCCCCUUCAGAGCAGCAACUGGUUCAGCUGAUCACCCUCCAGCACUGAGUCUCCACGUUGGGCAGAACUUCUACAGUCAUUGGCCCCUGGUUAGACCUGAGGUAAGUUUCCUCAAGGGAGGCUGAGAAACCAUCUGGGCAGAUUCCUGAGGCCCACUUCAGACUUGAUGGAGCAGAAUUCCUGUGGGUGGCUCCUGAGACAUCUUACCCAAACUCUCCAGAUGAUUUUAUUUCAAGUGAUUUCUAUGGAUCUGCAAGUUUGAAAACAAUGACCAUGGAGAGCUGUUUGUGGAUCACAUACUCACUCUGGUCCUACUCAUUGUGGUGAGCAUGCAUGAUCUGGGGUGAAGAUCCUGCAUUCUCUUUGCUCAAAGGUCUUGCUGUGGAUCCUCCUUUUUGUGGGGUGGAGGUAGGGACCAUUGGAUCCCAUCAUACAACACCUGAUAUGUUUUAGGAACUGGUCAUACCUGAAAUGGCAAAUGCUACCCAUGAACUGCAUCUGCAGGUUGCAAAGGUAUUUUUAAAAAUAUUUUGAAUUAUUCGCUAUCUCUUAAUGACCCCAAUAUUUCACACACACAGAAAUCUGAUUUCCAUCUUUUCUUGAAAAUCUGUGAUAUUUAGUAGCACUGGGCUUUCAUUCUGUUUUGGCAACAAUGAACUAUUGCUGAAUACAGAUGCCAUCUUCAGAUGGGGCUUAAGUGCCCCAUUUACUUCAGGGUCCCCCCUCUCCUGAUAAUGUCUCCAAAUUUGAGGCUGUCAGUGGUUCAAGAAAAAUGGGAGUGAUCACAUUUUUUUGUGGAUAUGAAGAAUAUUCUCUCAUAUUUACUAGGUCAAUUUUAUAACUGUCUUGAGAAAAAUGCAACUCAAGAUGAUCAUUAUUACUCUGUUGAUGCCAGAUGUCUGAUCCUAAAGACAUUUGAGUUGUGGUGCUUGACACUGAUUCCCACAUCCCUUCAUGGGGCUGUAACUGGAAGGUGAGAGUCCACCAUAAAACCAGAGAAUAUCAGAAUCUGACUGUGGAGUGCACUAUCUUUCUUGUGCAGAUGGAGAGACUUUGGCUCAGAAAGAGAAGAGCACUCUCGGAUGUCACUCAGGAUGUGGGGCAUAGCCAGAGAGAAAGCUGAGUCCUCAUUCUCAAGCUGGGCUCUUCUUCAUCUACAACUGGCACUAUUUCCUUCAAGUUUGUUUACACUUGGCCGCAUCAUUUUUUUUGGGGGGGUGUGUUCACUAUACCAUAAGUACAGUUCUAACUAAAGUGUCUGACAAACAUUAUUUGAUUUAAUAAUUUUCCUUAUUUGACAAAUGAGAAAAUUGACAUAUAUAAGGGACUUUGUUUAUUUGUGGAAGAAAAAUAAUUUGAAUCCAGGUCUGGGCACAGUCAAAGCCUGAGGGCCUCCCCACGUUGCUGUGUAAAUGAGCUAACCUACCAACCUGGGAGAUUGGUGUCAUGCUGUUUCCAUUUUAUUAUGGAGAAGGCAAGAAGGUAAGUGGCUUGCCUGGGAUCACAUAGCCAGUAGUUGAUAUAGUCAGGACUAAAAUCUAGGGCUGGCUCCAGGAUGGCACUUGUGGCCACAUUUGCUACUCUUCUGUACCUCAUGUAACCACUAGAAACCUUCCAACAGUUCAUUUCCAUUGUUUUGUAUGGAAUCACUCUGUACAACAUAGUAUCAAUACAUAAAUGUGGGUGUGUAGAGGGGAUGGGUCUGUUUUGUGGCACACCGAAUGUACCUGUACAGUUUUGUGAUAGCGUAGCAUUUUGGGCCAACACAUUGAGCAGCAGCCUAGACAUUCAGAUGAGAUGAUGCUUACAAACAGAGAAUCUGCAUCCACAGACGAGAAGGGCCUUCUCCAGUGGCACAUGGUGAGUACCAAUUCUCAAAGAUUAGAACCAACACUCUCUAGAGCCAGAACUAGAACACAGGGUCCUGACUUUUUUUCUGUAUGAUUCUUUCUCUUUCCAACAUAUGAAGUUACUCACCUCCUAUUCAAAUGUGAUCAGUAAAAUGCCAGGAAAUGCUGUGAUUCCCUUCUGUCAUCUUCAUUUUACACUGUUAAAGAUGAGAGAUAUGACUUCUCCUCACUUAGAACCCCAGUACCUCAGAAAGUGAGGACUGUAUCAGUGGUUUUUACAACAUACUCCAAAGAGUCCUGAAGUUUCCUGUUAGGCACUUGUAAUUUUGAAAAUAACAAAGUCUUUACCACCAAGAAUAAAGAUUCAAAUUGACUAAAGAAUGUGUUAAUCACUCAAUUACAAAACAUAUUUUAUAUAUUGGGUUUAGUGUAAUAUAUCAUUUUAAAGAAAGAGUUCUAUUGCUAAAAAUAUCUUGAAAACCUCUUUUUGUAAAUAUCAUUUAUCACAGAGUCACAGGAUACAUCUACCCAGAGGUAGAAAGUAAACAUGGAUUCAAAGUCAAAUAUUCCAGUAAGGUAGAGGAAACCAAAUUUGCACUUUGGGUUAACCAGGCACUUUGCUGAAAAAUGAUCUUGCCUUCUCAGCAUCAAUCAGCUGGGACAAUGGCAGUGUUUCUUCUGUUCCUGCUGGCCAUGCAUUGACCUGCCCAUCUUUGCAAUGCAGGCGCUGGAAUAGCAGCCGUCCUUUGGCAGAAGAGUCUGAGCCUGCUGGAGGCUCUAACACUCAGGGUUGCUUGUAGGAUUUUCUACAUCUCCACUCUGGGUUCUAGAACCGAGAAGCUUGGCUGUAGAUUCAGACCCUGAAAACCUGGGAGUAAGGGUUCAGGUGGCGAGGAGGGAUGAGGUGGAAAUGGUGCUAUGAAAGUUUCUGGAAAUAUCAGCUGUAGCUUUGUGAGUACAAGAGAUUAGAAAUUUCUGUCACACAGGAACGAACUUGAGAAAAGCAAGCAGACAAAGCAGAUACACACUCGGGCCCGUUCUCCUCUAUCACCCCAGCUCAGGUGAGUGGUACACACACACACACACACACACACACACACACACAGGCUCAUAUUCAGAUUUGUCUUUGAUUCAGCUGUAGUUCUUAGUAAAGUGUUUAACUAGUCAGGUCAGACACCCUGCUUCUCAUCUCCAGCUAGCCUCAACACUUCUCCUGUCUUUAUCCACAGCAGGUAAACACCUACAGGUUUCUCCCUGCUGCAGCAUAUGAAGCUGCCACCAGGCCUGGCCUCCCUGGCCGUCUCACUCAGCCCUCGAGCUUUCCCCAAUUGAUCUCUUCAUGCCAUCAAGGCCAGACUGGACAUCCUUGGACACCAGUGAUCUCAGAACCUCAGGCCCAGAGGGCAUCGGGUCAUCCACUGCAUGCCUGUUGUUUGACAUGUGGAGAGAUUGGAGCCUAAUAUCUCAGGAGAAUGAAGGGGCCGCUCUAGCUUCCAAAAGGGCUCCCAGGAUCUCUACAUCAAGCUGGAAGCCUGUCUUAAAUCAGAUUUCACAGAUGGCAGCCCAUGGGCUAUACCAGCCCCACACACAUUUUGUUCAGUUCAUGCACUGUUGGAUGCCACAAUAUUAUCUUGUAAUUUAAAUUGAGUAAACAUUUUAAAAUGGAAAAUUUUAUCCCUCCAAAGUCCAGAUUUCCAAAUUCUCUUAAAAAAAAUCGCGCAGGGUGAUAACCUCAUCAAAACUCCCAAGUGGAGUAAUUUGCUGAAGGUGAAUAGCCACGUUCCUUUUAGGUGGCGAAUUGGCUUAAUUCAUUUCUCUCCAGUUGGCCUAUAAAGGCAUUUGUAUUUGCAGCCUCUGCUUCAUAUAAAAAUAAGAUAAUAUUAAUAAUUAUUGAUGCAUAUUGAGUAUUUUACCACUAGUAAAUACCAUGCUUAUGUUAAUUCUCAAUAAAACUCUAUAAGGUAGAUUUAUUAUCAUUCUCGUUUUACAGAUGAGAAAGCAGGGCCUUGGAUGAGUUAAGAGAGUUGCCCAAGGUCAUACACAUAAGAAGAGGAAGAGCUGGGAUUACAUUUAACCAAUUCUAGAAACUAUGCUGACCCUAAGGCCUAGGUAGACUCCUUCAUUGGAGGUGACUCUUGAAAUUUGUCCACUUCUUAUCUACAUUUGGAGUUUCAGUCUUUGUUUCCAACAGUCAGUGAGACUCUGGCACUUUUAUGCCUACAAGCAUUCACCAAAUGGGGAAUCUGGGUCAUGACAAGAUAAGACUUUGCACUAUUCUCCUUUCCAUAUCCCCAAGCCCCUCUGCUCCUCCUUCCGACUUCUCUGCUCAGGCUGCAGCAGCACCAUCCUUUCAGUCAGCCAUGCCGGCACUUCAACUUCACCUCUGACUCUCCUCUUCCCCGCUUAUGUGUUAAAUCAACAUCUGGUGUUACACUGAACCUUGUUUAUACUUUCUCCACGUUUUUGGCUUCGGACCUUUGUUUUCUGUCUCCCUUCCACCUCGAAACCACUCUUCAAGACAUUGCUGUAUUCAUCUUCUUAAAGCAUUGGUCAGCCCACACUACUCACCUCCUUAAAAACCACAUUGGCUUUCCACUGCCUGAGGGAUCCAGGCCCCUGCUCUUUGGCAUGGCCUUUGAGACUUUUUAUAAUACUGGGGAAGCCUCUCCAGGUGUAGCUUCUUGGAAUUCCUCUUUAUAUUUCCAAUCCGCCAGCCAAACUGAGCUAUUCCCAGUUUCUCAAAUGUCCCCAAUGUUUUCCAUGUCUAAACACCUGUCCUUUUUGUGUGGAAUGCCCCACUACUAAGCCUUCCUUAUGGAAUUUCACUCCAUCUUUUAAGGUCUAGCUCAAAUACCACAUCCAGAAAAGCAUCCCUGAACAAAAUGCUCCACAUCUACACCACCCUUAUCCCUGUUCUCUGGACCAAGAGGCAAAUGCUAUUUGACAACUAUUUAUGGAAUAUCUAUUAUGUGCCAGGCAAUGUGGGAUACUCAUUGAUGUACUUUUACAACUUUCAGCAAAUACUAAGUGUUUACUAUGUGGCAGACACUGUUUUAAUAUAAGAGGUGCAAAACUCACAACUGUAAUAUAACAUCAGGCAGUGAUAAGUGUAGUGAAGAAAAUAUGAAGCAACUGAAUCUGAUUCACAUGGGGUGAUAAGAAAUGAAUGAGGAAUCAACAAGACCCACCAGGACUCAUGGCACUGAGAGAUGCCUGCUGCAGUGAUGUGCAGGCCUAACUGGCUCCAUCUAGGAGCAAAAGUUCAGCAACUGCCUCUGGCAAUUCUGUGGCUCUUUCUGCACCCUGACCCCAUCUUUGAUGUUGAUUGGCACUGUGGCUGCUGGGUGUCCUUACGAGCUCUCUUCAAGAAAAAUGCAGCCAUGAGGAGGAUCCGCUUCCAAGGUCUGUAGAUGCAGCGGUUCCCCACUGAUGUACUCUGGAGGCUGUUUUCCGGAGGGAGCAUCCCCACUGUUGGAGGAGGAAAUGCACAGCCAGACCACUGGACAGCAUGGGUUAAUGCAGCCAAUCAGAACAGAGCCUGCCGAUGAGGGCAAGGGGCUGAUCAUUCCUGCCAAGGCGCUCCCCAGAAGCCACUGAAGUCUGUUAGCAGGAUUGCAAACUUUAGCUGAGAAUAGCUCAGGUGAGUUGGUCCUGUGGAAAUCAUAGGCAAACUGGCUGCCUCCUGGGUGCUCCCCUCCCUCAAGUUCCUCCCUGUGGAAUGUCCUCUCCACUUUCCUCCACAAUGAUGAUCGCUAUAGUGACGACUGCUAUGACGAUGAUGGUGAUGAUGAUGUUGAUGACGACGAUGACAUGACCAUGAGGCUCAAUCACUGAGGCUCUCUGCUAAGUGCUUUAUGUGCUUUCUCUUUUUUUUUUUUUUUUUUUUUUUUUUGAGACGGAGUCUCGCUCUGUCGCCCAGGCUGGAGUGCAGUGGCCGGAUCUCAGCUCACUGCAAGCUCCGCCUCCCGGCUUUCUCUCACUUUAAUGCUCACAUACAGUUCUUGAGGUAGGUACCGUCAUUAUCCCUACUUUACAGAUGAGAAAUCUGAGGCACUGAGAAGUUAAGAAUUUUUCACCGAGACAUCCUUGUACAUGAGGGGUGUUAGAAUUCAAACCCAAUCAGAUGCUAGACUCCAGAGCCCCUGUGUGUUUAACUCUAAAACAGUAUAGUCUCCUGUGCUGUUGAAAUUUUAUCUGACCCCAAGGCCUCAUUCAAAUAACACCUCUACCACAAAGCUUUCUUCGGUUAUCUUUUUCAUGUCUGUGCGUGGCACACAUGACUGACCUAAGUAGUUGUCAUUCAUUCAUUCAACAUUUAUUGCGUAUUCAUUAGGCGAUACAUGGACAAAUGCUAUUUUUAAUUUUUAUUUUUGAGUAUUUAUUUUAAUAUGUACUAAAAUAAUAGCUAACACAUCACACCUGUGAGCUUGUAAAUGUUUCCACUUGGACUGAUCUAAAAAAUUACGCUAGAAUUGAAGUCAUUUUAAUGAGGAGCAUCAAUUAAAUGAUUAAUGGGUCAGGGGAAAAGGUUAUGAAAAAAUGGCUUACGUCUUGGAUGCACUGCUCUCAUUUGUGGAAUCUCUAAUCUGAUUCAACAAUCUCAUUGCACAAUGAGGUAACUGAGGCCUAGGGUGUCAGGUGACCUACCUAUGAGUUCCUAAUAGAGGCAGAUUGAUGGAAAGCCUUGAGGGGACCAGAUCCCCAGGCCAGCGUUUCUUUCUAUAAUACCAUUAGUUUUUUUGCUUCCUACCUGUGCAGUUUUAACCUCAAAGGGCAAAACAAUUAAAACAGUUCAUCUGAGUUCAUUCUGGUAACAGAGAGAGCCAGCAAUAACUUCAUACACCCAGUUAGAUUGCUGUCAUUUAACAAGGACUUUUACAAGUAUUUUCCUUAGUGUCCUUUCUCUGUUUAUACUUAUAAACAGAAAAUUUUUUUUCAAGAUGCUUGUCAUUCCUCCCACAUUGUUAGAGAUCUGCUUGUAUAUAGUCUCAGGAAAUGAUUUGAUGUUUUCCCCUGGGAGUUUAUUCUACUUAGCUAGAAUCAUAAGAGAGAAUCAACUUUGUAUGUUAUGAGGCCUCUUUCGAUUUGGGUUGACAUUGUGUGUGCUGUUCUGAUUGCCAAGUUGAAAUUGAAUGGUGUAUAAAUAUAAAAUGACUUGCUUUAACUUUUCCACCUAGGUCAGCCCACUGGGGGAGCACAUUGCUUGAAUCUGAAUGCAUCCUCUUCAGAGGGACACAGUCUGGAAAGAGGGUGACAGGACUGGAGGAGACCACAACCCUAUCAAGGGAGCAGCAGCUGACGGGACUGGGGUUAGCUGGCCUGCAGACUCGAGGGGCCAUCCCAAGAUGGUGCUGAAUCUUAGCAAGACAAGAGUGGAAUUUCCUCGUCGCGGGCUUUUUCUCUCACCCACUGCGCUUGGCAGAAUAUCACAGAACUUGGAAACGCCAGCUUGGGAAUUAAAGAAUUUGACAAACCUGAGUUGGAAAUCCUAGCUCCGCCUCUUACUUAUAUAAUUCUUGGAAAGUUAUUUAAAAGUAAAACUACGUGUCUCAACAGGCUGAUGUAAGAUUAGAUAAGAUGUUGUUUGAAUAGUCUCUGACAAGGAGUAAUGCUUAAUACUUGGAAGCGGCUAUCAUCAUGAUUAUCAUUAGGUGGUGAUGGUGGGAGCUGUGAUGGUGAACACACAAAAAAUAAUAUUAAAAAUUGGUCUUUACAAUAAAAGAAUUUACAAUCCAAGAAAAUCAGGUCAGUGACACAGAGAAGGAAGAAGUGCUCAAAAGAAGUAUGGUCAAUGGGUUGCAAGAUAGGGUUUGCAUUUAGAAAAUAGAAGUUAAUUCCAACUAGAGAUACAGAGAAGGCUUUGAUUGAUGGAGAAAGUACAGAGUGGGACAUUCGGAUACAUUGGGAAACCACCUCUCCUAAAGUUUUUUCUAGAUUCUAAGUGCUCAUGUCUUUACAUUCCUAAGCAACAGUUAAAUAGGACAAGCAAGUUCUCUCUGUGGUCCUCGUUCAGCCUAGAUGUCUGUGGAACUGUUGAAUUCUUUACUUUUUGUUCUGCCUGACUCCCUACCAAAACAAACAAACAAACAAAAAAAAAUGGGAAAGAAAGAAACCAAAAACACAACCAAUGCAUACAUCCCAUGUCCAAAAGGAGUACUCGGUAGCAAGGCACAAGUACACAGAUGAAGGAAAAAUAAAAGAACAGAAAAGAGCAGGAAAAUUUCUGUUUCUUCUCCUAACCAGGAAUUCAGAUGGGGAAUUUAAAGAGUGAAUGCCUUCUAAUUAGCCUUCUGCUCUGUGAGGCUCACACAUAUACUGUGUGCGCCCAGCUACCCCCAGGGCUGUCAGAGAGCAAAACUACUUUAAUAGGAAGAGAGGAAAGAGAGAAGUGAAGAAGAGGAGGCAAGGAAACGAAGCAGGUUCUACACCGCAAAAUAGAGACACAGCCUAUCCUCCUCAUUUAAAUGAAAGAGACAGCUAAUGGGCAGGGCAAAAUUUCCGGCUCACUCUUGGCAUAAGCAGACCUGGGCUAUUGUCCUAGCUCUGCAUGUUACCGGCCUGUCGUAGUAUCCCCUACUUCACAAGCUGUAAUGGAGAUUAAAUGGGAAGCCACCAGUAAAGGAACUAUGGUGAAAAGCAAAGUGGUUCACAUAAAACAAAGAUACUAUUAUUGUUGUUUUCACAGAUGAGGAAACUGAUGUGUAGAAGAGAAGGUCUUUGCUCAGGGGGUCCCAAACAGAUAGCAGAGCUGGAAGUUUCCAUCCUCUCAGGCCGAAUUGGCAGAUUGCUUUCAGGGAUAGGGUGCAGGCAGGCUGGGGCCACCUGAAUAGUCAAAACCCUCUGCUUCAGCCACCUUCAGCUAAGAGAGCCUGGGCCAGGGCUGAUAAACACGGCCAAAGGCAUAUCCGGUAUAAAUUCAGCAGCCCCUCCUACUAAGACGCCAAAGCACGCAGGUUUGUUGUGGGAAGCCCUGGGGAGUGGAGAGGAAGAGCUUGGGAGAACAUGUGGGAAAUUGAGCCAGCCAAGAGAAAUGAAAAACACAUUAGCUGGUGUGAAGGGAAGAGGAUGCAGAGACACAAUCCACAACUUUAAACGUUUCCGUCAUCUGUGGCAGAAAGGUGCAAGUGACCUGCUACAGGGCAAGCCCAAUUCCAAAGCCCAGGCUGCUAAGGCAAAAAGGCUCCAGACAUCACUAUCAAAACUUUUACAAGGAAAGUGAUCGUGACAAAAUCGUUCCAAUGCAAACGUGCAGAAUUUCCACAGCUUGACUCCCAGGUUGGUCUGCAGAAAGAAAACUAUAACCUAAUGACAAUUUUUUUCAUGCCAGGUGGCUUCCAUACCAGCUGCCUAUGAUUUGUUGAGCAAAGCACUUGCCCUUCUUGAGUCUCUGAUUCACUAGCAAGGCAUCUAGAUGGGAAGAGUGAUGAGGUACUUUCUAGGUUUCAAAAUGUGAAGGAUGUGAGAGGGGAUGAGAAUGGCACAAACCUUUAUUGUGUACAACUAGUUGCCAAGGACUGUCUUACAUAUUUUACAUAUAUCACAUCCUUGGGCCUUUAUGGUUUUUCUUUGAGGAAUGUAUUAUUAUUUCUAGUUUAAGUGUGGGAAAUAUGAUGCCCAGAGAGGUCUGAGACUCAUUCAACAUCACACAGUCAAUAGUCACAAAGUUGAAAUUCAAAAUUAUGUCUAUUUCUUUUCAAAGAUAAUGGUAGAAUAAUAGUAAUGGAUGUUCUUGUCCCCUGAAAAUGAUGUUACAGAACAGGCACGCCUUGUUACUGUCAUGAGUCUGUCCCACAUCCCAGCUCUGGAUAUUUUAGGGGAAAGAUCACCAUCUUUGAAGAUGAGACACAAAAGAUGCACACUGAAGCUGGCUCAGACUGUCUCAAAAGAGCUAAUUAUGUGCAACUCUUCUCAACUCCACGUUUAGUGAUGUCACCUCAGUACUUUGAAAUUGGCCAUGACCCCAGUAGUUACACCAUAGAAAUAGACAAACACUACAAGUCAGGGAUCCCCCCUCAUGGAGAGCUGGCUGACUAGCACACCACUGGAUGUUGCCUCAGCUCCAUCACUAGCUGAGAGGAGAAAUAUUUAGACCCAUGUAGUAAUUUGACAUUGUUGUGACAUCCAAGCACUGUGUAAGUGGUCUUGUCUUGUUGACCUAGGUUAGACCUGUUGGGGUAUUGGUGAUGAUCAGAAUCACCUGGAGUGAGUGCUGAUAGCGUGAAGGAGACACAGCCUCCCUUUCUUCUAAUCGGAUAGGGCCUGCUGUGUUUUUACCAAGUUUCCCAGGUAACUCUGAUGCCCACCACAGUUUGGGAACUGCUAGUCUAAUCUACACACCAAGAAUAGGAAUCCCUCCCUUGACCUUCAUCAUGUGGAUGUUGAAAGUAAGCAUAAACAAAUAAACUCAGAUCUUGAAAGGAUAGGUGCCAGAUAAAUAUGAACCUGAGGCUCCAUUUCCUUGCCUGUAAAACAGAGAUACUGCUCCCCUUGCCUGGCACUUCUUGAGAAGGUGAUCCUGUUGUAAUGGUUUUACAAACAGUGAAAGUCUGUACAAUGUGUGGCAUUGUGAUGACAAAAAUAGGAAGAUGAUUUUU